This 905-nucleotide ribosomal RNA is filed under the name uncultured archaeon. Its description in RNAcentral is "bacterial SSU rRNA". It matches the Rfam family "Archaeal small subunit ribosomal RNA", at positions 1 to 887 of the family's 1478-position model. The record is from RNAcentral.
UUCCGGUUGAUCCCGCCGGACCCCACUGCUAUCGGGAUAGGACUAAGACAUGCUAGUCGCGUGCUUCAGCCAAAACGAGGCACGGCAAACAGCUCAGUAACACGUGGCUAAUCUGCCCUUAGGACGCGAACAACCCCGGGAAACUGGGGCUAAUUCUCGAUAGGUGAAGAACUCUGGAAUGAGUCUUUGCCUAAAAGAGCUUACGUUAUGCUCGUAAGUUUCGCCUAAGGAUGAGGCCGCGACCGAUCAGGUUGUUGGUGAGGUAAUGGCUCACCAAGCCUUUUACCGGUGCGGGCCGUGAGAGCGGGAGCCCGGAGAUGGGCACUGAGACAAGGGCCCAGGCCCUACGGGGCGCAGCAGUCGCGAAAACUUUGCAAUACACGAAAGUGUGACAGGGCUAUCCCGAGUGCCAUCCGCUGAGGAAGGCUUUUACCCAGUCUAGAACGCUGGGGGAAUAAGGAGAGGGCAAGUCUGGUGUCAGCCGCCGCGGUAAUACCAGCUCUCCGAGUGGUGUGGAUGUUUAUUGGGCCUAAAGCAUCCGUAGCUGGCUAGGUAAGUCCCUUGUUAAAUCCACCGAAUUAAUCGUUGGAUCGCGGGGGAUACUGCUUGGCUAGGGGACGAGAGAGGCAGACGGUAUUUUUGGGGUAGGGGUGAAAUCCUAUAAUCCCAGGAAGACCACCAGUGGCGAAGGCUGUCUGCUAGAACGCGCCCGACGGUGAGGGAUGAAAGCUGGGGGAGCGAACCGGAUUAGAUACCCGGGUAGUCCCAGCUGUAAACGAUGCAGACUAGGUGUUUGGACGGCCACGUGCCGUUCUAGUGCCGCAGGGAAGCUGUUAAGUCUGCCGCCUGGGGAGUACGAUCGCAAGAUUGAAACUUAAAGGAAUUGGCGGGGAGCACCACAAGGG